Long non-coding RNA from Gasterosteus aculeatus aculeatus (three-spined stickleback), 9303 nucleotides. Lineage: Eukaryota; Metazoa; Chordata; Actinopteri; Perciformes; Gasterosteidae. The record is from Ensembl.
UGAGAGGAAAAUGGCGGCAGAAAGAAUGGCAGAAAAGGAGCACUAGCCCCCCUCUAGCAGGGCUCCAUGAAGAAAUGCAAUAUUCCUUGUUGUUUCAUGAAAAUUUACAACUUUGUGAUACAAGUUUAUGAGUGGCCGCGCGCAGGGAUUGGCCGACGGGCUGGUCAUGUGGACGCGCUUAACGUGAACAUGAACUUUUUAUGAUUUCCCAAGUGGCUAUAUUGCUGCUGCGAUCCGCUCCGGCCCGAGGAGCCCGCCUCUACUCCUCCUGGCUUCGGUGCUCGCGCUGUGGCGAGGCGGAUGAGCGUAGCCGGAAUAACCGGGGAGGAAAUUUACGCCCAGCUGUAAUAAAACGGACCAGUAAACGAGGAUACUAGUUGCUACCGAGGAAACCUGGACGCGGAAACAGUGACAAGAAGCUGCCCCCCUUCUCCCCCUCCUGCUCUUCCUCCGCCAUGGCUCCGAGCUCCCCGUCUGGUAUUUUCGUGCUGCUGAAUCGGCGGACUCUCGAUGAGGGCUGUCUCGUGUCAUUCCGGGCGCCCCGGCUGCCUGCGCGCGGGACGCCCAAGUAGUGAGCCGCGGGUGUGUGGGGGCUCGUGACGGAUGAUCGACAAACGAUCAGAGAACCUUGUGGUCCGAUCAGGCUCUGCGGUGAGCCUCCCAGAUGGAUGCGCUCUCCGAAGAACCAUCCACCGGAUAGACCUCGGAUGGUUUGGGAUCCGGAAGAUUAGUUAGUGUCUUGCUUUUUGUUGUUGUUUCAGCCCUAAGCCGUUCUCUGUGAACGGGGGGAGGUGAGAGGGAGGCUGCCUUUUGUGUGAGGGCAGGUGUGCUGGAUUUGUUUAAUCAUAAAUACCUAUUUUGAAAGGGAGAGCGUAGCCUGGUCCUUAUGCAUUCAUUAGCAUGCAUUAUAUUUCCUGUAAUUCUGGCUCUGCUUUUAAAUGCAUUUUUGUGCUAUUGGUGUAAGAGUUUGAAUUGUUUCACUCAAGGUUUCAGCCAAUUGACAGCCAGUGUGUGUGUUUGUCUGUGCGUGUGUUCACAGACACAGGAAUGUUUUUUUCUCGGUGGGUCCAGCCCACUUUUAUGACUUUGUUUCCUUUCUAAUUUCCUCCCGGCGGAUGGAGUGUGUUUUUUCUUCUUUCUUUAUUGUCUACACCUAACCAGCCGCCCAAUCACUUCCCCACCACCACCUCCAACCCACACUCAUAAACACAUCUGCAGGUCAGUCUCUGUCUGUGUUGUCUUUGGUCUUCAAUUGGUUGCUGUCUCAAAUAUCAAACACCUUCGGAAGUGUUUGAUAUUCGUAGUGAAUUCCUUUAUCACCUCUCCUCCUGCUCCAUGCGCACUAGCAGGCAGAUACAUCUGAAUUAUGAAUAAAUAACUUCUCAUUCUUUGGAUACAUUUAGAUUUGAUUAAAUACAUGCGUAGCAUGUUACUUCAUUUUUGGAAAUCAGCAUUUUGUUCUCUAUGGCUCUCCAUCUUCAUUGAGUCCAACCCUGCAGGAUUUAACUUAUUUAUUUAUUGUAUAAUUAAUUAAAUUACAAUGUUGGUUAUGCUCAUUUAUUUUAUUUAUUAUAUUUAAGUAUAUAUUUGCAAUUAUUGAAAUUGAAUUUUUAAUAUUAAACGUUUUAGGAACUUUGAAAUGAUUAAAACGGCACUUUUUGCGAGUAGCAACAACUUCUGUGACGAGUGUGUGUCGAUGUUUAAUACGAUAAGCUGCGGUUCCUUCCAUGUCUGUGAAAAGCGGCGCGCAGUUGUGCUUUUGUUUCGUGCCAUGGGAAGUACACAAAUUGAGGCAUUGCCAAUCUUUUUUCCUAUUUUAUUUUUUAUAGAAAGUCAUCCAUAAAAAACAUCCUACAAAAUAUACAUCUUAAUUUAAUAUUGUAUAUUCGCUGACCUCGCUCACGCUCGAAGCCUGCCGACAUGCGUACGCUGUAUUCACCGAAUUCCAAAGACACCUCAAAUUUUCAUUUCUGGACGUGUAGCCUUUUGUUGUGAGGAAAGUCUACAGGAACAUGAAAUCAACCCAGACGCUUCUGCACGUCUCUGGACCGAUAAAUAAAGUAAUCAACAGUUAUCGAUAAAGUACUGUGUUGUUAUGUGGCCUGCUACAUCUCACAAAAGCGUAUAUUUUUGACUCAGUAUUUUUCUCAUUCAGGGUUAAAACACAUCAUCAGAAAAUCUGAAAAGCUCGAUCCGUGACACUUUAUGUUCGGUACUUAUUUGAUACAAGUAUGGUUUAAGAAAUAUGUGUUCAUGAACGUCAAUUCCAUAACAUCUUUCAUUAGCGCAGCACAAACUUGUCUGCAACUUGUAUUUUAAAGAAAGGCUGGAGAAGGAACCAAGAGCCCGCUCGACUCGGACACACAAUUAUGCUUUUGAUAUCAGCUUAAAUGUACAUUGUAUUAAAACUUGAUUUGUAUAGUUUACGAGCAUAUUUUUUUCAAGAGGAUCUAUUUUGUGGUGGCAGUCCGCCUUAAUAAACACAGACGGGUCAUAUUUAAGUAUUUGUAAUUCAGCCCUUUACCUUGGCAUGUUGUUGCUUUUAUCUUCAUUCAUUAUUGUUACCAGUGUAAAUUACAGUGAUCUGAUAACUAUCUUUGUUCAAAAUAUAGUCUCUAUGUUGGCUAGAAUUCUGAUUUAACUGCACUAGUUACGGGGCCCAGAUCAAUUUCACGGCUUUAUCUUCAUAAAAAGUUAUCGGUCAUAUACACUCGCAGUGGCGGCUGGUCCAUAGAGGGCAAUGGGGCUCGGCCCCACCUUGAGCCACAAAAAAAAACAUCAUUUUUUUGACAUUUUACUAAUCGUCAAUAUGUGUCUAUUUGUGUUUUUGAAACAUAGAAUAUACCCAGUAAUAUUUGUAAUUUAAGAUAUCUCUGCAAAAUAUAUGAUUUUCCAGCCCGACCUCUCCGCAUGUCUCAGCUGGGUUGGCAAGGUCCCGAAGCGGCGGGUUUAAGAAGCAGUUAAACCAAUCACCGAUGAAAGUUAAUGAGUGACAGAUAAUUUCAGCGUCCUAAAAUACAUUUAGCUUUAGGCCCGCCCUUCGCCGCCCUACGCGCUGUCGCCAGGGCGAGUCUCGCGACGCCCUUUUAUCAACAUAACAAGAGCGACCACGGGCAGUGUUCUUCCAGGGAGACCCGAACCAAACUCCAAGACCCGUUUGAGAGAAGAACUUUGCCGAGAAUCUAGAGGUAAAACAGCUAGACCCAGAUCAGCCCGACUUCACAAUCAGACAACGGACUGCCGUUGGGGGAUAUGACGCUUCUGUAGAAGAGGUUUAGCAAACUAGUUAUAUAAUAUCCUGGAUAUUGUUUUAUAUGUAUAGUUAUAUGUAUUCAUUAAUAUUGUAUGAAUAAGAUGUCCUUAUUAUGUUAAACUGUUGGAAUACAUAUUAAAUAUUUAACUGCAAAGUAAUAAUGCGUGUUUGAUACAUUUUUGCAUUGAAUCAUGUUUACUGGCCCUAAUAACAAAAUCCAGCAGCCGCCACUGUACACUCGUGUACAUUUAUAUUCUUACAGAUGGACUCGCUUCACCUGACUAUGUAAUGAAAUGGGCAUAGUGGAAAUAAAAUAUGUAUAACUAAAGUUGGGGAGGAGGAGAGUAUAUAAACAAAAAAGCUAUGCUCACGUACACUCGUUAUGUCCAUAAAUCGCAGCAGCGGUAAACAUACAAUGUAGAUGAGGCCGCGGCGCGUGGCUGCAAGACGCUCUGCUGCCAUCUAGCGUCUCGUUGCCGAUAGUACCGAAUGUUCCCGAACACCCGAACCCUUCAUCCUCCUGGUCACGCGCACACAAGGCAGCAGUAGUUGCUAAAUGCUAUCUGUCGCACUUGCGUGAUGUGCUGUUGGCUACGUGCGUGUGUUGACGACCUGUUGACUUUUCUUUUUUAUGGUCCUCUUUGGAAUGAGAGCAGACAGGAUGAAGGACAGGGUGCGAAAGCAUGUGGGCGCGCUCCCUGCCUUUCGUGUGCGUGUGCGCAAUUCAAUAUUUUAUCUCGCUGACAGUGGGCUUCUCUCCUGUCUUUGGGAUCGACGCAGAGAGGCACAGACCCCCGCUCUCUGUUUCUCUACCAGGUUAGGCCUCGUUGAGCGAAUGAGCAGAAUCAGAAUAUAUAUAAUCAAUUAUACAAUGUAACUAUAUAUUCAAAAAUAUAUGUAUCUGUGAGUGUGUGUGUGUGUGUGUGUGUGUGUGUGUGUGUGUGUGUGUGUGUGUGUGUGUGUGUAUAAGUGUAGCACGCGUAUGCGCGCAGACGUCGUGCACAGGGAGGGAAACAGAAGCUUUCUUCUUCUUCUGAUCGGUCAGGGUCGCUGUUUCGAUCAACAAAGGAAACCAUAACAACUCGCCCUUGCUCUGAGAUUUCAUCGCCUUUUACUGGCUCCUAUAUCUACAAAUCUGCUGUGCAACCCUCUGUGUGUGCGUGUGAUCAUUUGAAAAACCCUGGUGGAGGGAAUUAAGGCUGGUGGGGGACAUAAUCCAAGGUGUUGCUUUUGAUUCACGACUCAGCCAUUCACCUGUGUGUACGCGAUUUAAAUAUGUUACCAUGUUCAUACAAUAUAAGUUACAUUGGUAAUAUUAUUGGUGAUUCAGAAAUGCUGCUCAGAGUUACCCGUUCAUUCAUUUAUAAUGUGGACAAUAAACCUAUAGCCAGUAGCCCCUUUUAAAUCCUAUUUAAAACUACAAUAACACAAGAUGUUGUGUAGAAUUCAGAUAAUAAGUAGGUGUGUGCGAUGGUCUGCACCUGCACGUGCGCGUGCUCCUUAUUUAGCACAAUUUUAAAGAGCCCAAUAAGCAGCCCUCGUAACACUGCAUCCAUGCGUCCGUUAUUCUUUAACUCGUCCCCCGGCCCCUCGGCGUGGCUGGGGGGGCUUGCGUCCACCGGUAACAGUCCGGUGAGCUGACCCAGAGCACGAGCUCACGGCGCCGUGAAGGACGCAGCCAGCCGGCUUGCGCUACUCUGAAAGGAACUUGGGAAACACACACGCGCACACAAAAAGCACAAGUGAAGCAGUUUACCUCGGUUUGUUAUUAACGGGAGGUUGGUCAGCGAGCGAAUAAACACGCACAUAAAAUGCGCACUGUUUCUUAUCCAACAUUAUAAACUAAAACCACACAGGCAUCGAGAUGAAGUAAAACUACUUUGUUUUAAAGCAUACCAUAAAUAUUAUAUUACUAAUUUCUCUCUUAACGUUAAUCCAGCUGCCAACGUAGAACCUAUUUGAGAAAUAUUUAAACUUGAAAGUAUAAUUAUGCAAUAAAAACAAACUGCCAUCACCUGCUAAUGAAUGUCUGACCAUCUUUUCAUUUUACGUCAUUGUUAAAUUGGAGUUACCCCACGUAAAUAGCAACGAAUGAGAUAUAGAAUAAUAGUAUGCGUUUUUGAAUAAAAUAUCACAUUAGAAUAAACACAUCGUUCUACUUUGCUUGAAAUAUAAAUCUCAUCAUAUAUAAAAUUAGAUACAUAUAGAGUGUUAGUCCAUUAAAUAAAUUGCGAUGUUUAAAUUUCAUAGUUAAUCAUUGUGAAUUGCCGGCGCUUUGAGCCGUAUCGCGGCUGAAAUGUGCCGCAGAUUAACUGUACAGCUCGUGGGUACGUGUGCGUUUUUGUGAAAGCGCGUUCCUUGUGUGCAGCACAGCACAUGUGUUCAUCUGCUGCUUCGGGCCUGUUUUUCAGUUCGUCGCGAUCCCUCGGACUUUACAAGGAGUCAUAAACGGCCAUAAAAUUCUCUCUCACACACACACACACACACACACACACACACACACACACACACACACACACACACACACACACACACACACACACAUAUAAACACACACGCCCGAAGCCAUGAAGCCAUAAAGCAUCCGUCUGACUUCUUCUGGUUUAAUUGUCGAUAACCUCUGAAGUUUCUCGGAUUCAUGGAGUUCCUACAGCUCUGAACUGUUUCCAUCCCGGUGGCUGCGGCCGCUCCACCGGGUUGCAGUGGAUUCACGGGAUUCAUGGCGCCUCUCAUUAAGUAAAACAUGUUAUGCAACUAAAUUAAAACAAACGGAAAACUGAAAAAACCUGUUAUAAUAAUUUAUAUAAUAAUUUAAAUGAAUAUAUUUAUCAAAGUUAUUAUUGGCAUUAACAUCAAUAACGUUAUAAAAAUAAUCCAAACUCUAAAGCUUCUAAAAAAUGUUAUUGUUGUAUUAGUAUUUGUAUUUUCCUGACUUUUGGUUGUUAUAAUUCCUGUUAGCAGUAAAGUAUUAGUAGCACUAGUAGGAUGAGUUGCCUAUCACUAAUUAUUUGAAUUAUCAUAUUUCACCUCAAAAUGUAAAGUGCUGCUCAUUUGGCGCUGUCCCAAACUGUCGGCCGCACACCUGCAACGACCGUCAUUACAGGUAACCCUGGCAGACUAGCGCGUGAGCUUGGCUACGGAGUCAAAGUGUGAAGGCAGCCGGUCACGUGACAUGGCAGCACAAAAUAUCUCACAUUGCUGCCCUAAAGUUGCAGUAGGCCUCAUUCACAUUAUCCUGAGCCGCUGCUGUUGAGGGUUGAGCUAACGUUUAGCUUUUGUAAUUGGUCCGUACGCCUGGGCGGACUCACGGAACACGUUAAAAGACGCUAUAAUAGCGAGCGUGGCAAAACAGCUUAAUUCUGGUAUUAAGGUGAAUUUUUCUGUCACCUAUUGUUUUUAAACAUGUAUUAUGAAACAGCAUAUAACUUUAGAUUUAACCUAGAAAACAUUGUUUUUCGACAGACUUCGUUGCACAUCUCAGAAAGUCAUAUUUGACCUGCGGGCUUCCGUACCUUUAAUUGUUUCUCCUCUUUAUUAUACCAAAGAAAUAUACUUCAAAAUUGUGUUAAUGGAUAUGGGUUGGGUGUGUAAUAAUAGCAUUGCCGUCCCGUGUGUGCGCCAGGCUGAAGCCGCGUCUGUCCUGCCCCGACUGUUAGUGCUCAUUAAUGAUUAAACCACCGUCAGCCUCAAACACAAUGCUGCUGCUUCCCGUUCCCACAAAGCGGAGAGGAAGCGGAGCGUCCUGCCUGCGGAGAGAGAGAGAGAGGGAGAGAGAGAGGGGGAGAGAGAGGGAGGGGGAGAGAGGGAGAAGGGGAGAGAGAGGUCAAAAGGAGAGUUAAAAAGCGAGAUUCUACCCGAUAUUCUCCCCAACUGUCGUGUGUGAUCCUUCACAGAAAGCGAGCGUUGAGGAUUCAACGUAUUGUCUGUCUCACUGCUCCGAACAGUGUUCCCUUAAAACAAGGAGAGCGAGCGAGAGAGGGGAGGAAUAGAUGGGGCGGGAGGGCGAAGUAAGAGUAAAAAUAGAGUCUUUGUCUCUAUUUGUCAGUGGGGCUGUCUGCUGUUUGGCCAUGUAGACAAGUCAGAGCCUGUAGGGGAAACACAGAGAGAGGGAGAUUUAUUUAUGGCUGCGGUCAUUUUACGACCUCAGCGACACAUAUUCCGUUUGUAAGUGCGAAUGAAAAAUAGGCCGGCUCGAGCUUUUCGGCUGUUGUUGUUUCUAAACGCUUUCUUCCUUGUCUUUCACUCGGUCCCUUUUCUAUAGUGCUCCCAAGUAAAAGGUAAAACACAACUGUAUUUUGGCUAGAUUGAUUUAAAGCACAAAGUAGCAUAGUGCUGAAUUUGUGUGUAUGCGUCUGUGUGGGGGUAAUGUUUCUGGUCAUGUAUUACUUAUUACCCUGCUUUUCGCUCUUAAAAAACUCUGUGAUAGCUAAACGAAUGUCAUAACACGUUUGUGACAUAUAUGCUUUAGGAAAAAUGGUCGUAUAGACGCAGUUUGGGCAAUUGUAUUGGAGUGCAUCCUAAUAUGUGCUGGUUAUAAUGACCAAUUGUUAUAUUAAAUUAUUUGGACUAAUUUAUAUAAUCUAUAUUUUUUAUUUAUCGGUGAUGCUGGCUCCAUGUGUUUUUUUUUUCUUUUAUAUCCGCUCGUAUCUCUAUGCAAUUGCCAUAAUAUUAUGACUCGAGGCCAUGUCCUAAAUGUAAUUAUGUAUUUCAGAAUUUUAAAUUAUAUUUUCAAUACGGCGGUACGUUAUAAUAUAUGGCACCCCUUAAGGUUGUAGCCAUAUUUUAGACGCAUUGUAUGAAUAUAUUUCACAUGUACAUGGCCCCAUGGAAAGAGUCAGCUGCAAGUCUCUAAUCAGUGUCAAGAGAACGGGGAAAAAUGUAGAAAGUUUGGGACUGUUUUCUGUCUUCCGCUCCGUUUAACAUUGUCAGCUCUAAUCAGUGUCACAUAAGAAGACAAAUAAUAAUUGAUGGCGCGCGCUGAUCAAACCGCAACCUGCUCCUGCGGAACACAACUGGGACACUUUGGUUUUAAUUAUCUACAGACACCGCAGCUUGGAACCAACGCGGCGUGUGACCCUAACGGCGGAGCGCGAGGCAGAAGGCCUCAUCCAGGUCCUCUCCCGUCAAUAAAACAUCGAGCCAUCAGAAUUUGCUCAGAAAGUCCCUUUUAGUGUCAAUUAUUAUGAACGUCUAUUCUACACAGAAGAAGUGCGAUGAAAAGGCCCCCGUACAAGAGAGGACCCACGCCCACGCACACGCACACACACACACACACACACACACACACACACACACACACACACACACACACUGACCGGAGUGGGAAGCUCAAAUCCACCCACCAAACAAAAAAUACCAAUUACAAAAGUACAAACCCCUCAAUUAGACUUGGAUAGCACAUAUUAUGUUGUAGGAUAACUCACAUGCACGCGUAAUGCGUGUGGAUCCGCACACACACCCUGACGCAGGGUGUAGUGCAUGUGGCUCAAGGCUUUGAAUUAGCUAAAAUUAUUUAAAUACGGUCGGUAUUAUCUUCAAAGCGCCGGUAAUGUGUGUUAUUGUUCGGUUGCCUCCGGUGGUGGUGCAGUCGCCUCGGUGGGAGGGCUGCGCGUGAACGUGCCAUUCCUUUUUUAUGGGUCCACAACAGAAGGAGACGGACACGCGGGGCAAGAAAAACAUAAUUUAACGCACCGAGGAUUCCGGUGUGAUUUUGCAAUCGCACUGUGAACCGGAGGGGGAGAUUAAAAGAAGGGAAUGAGAAUUAGAAAGAGAACGAGGGAGACAAAUAGUAAAGAGGAGGUGAUGCCCCACCCCCCCCCCACAACCCCCCCACCCCUUCUUCUCUGCAACGACAGGAAAAUGGGCGAACGAAUGGCAGGCACGGAUGCCUCCCAUUGGUCAGUCGGAGGUCAGCUGCUCUUUUCCUCUCUCCUUUACACCCCUCCUCACCCCACUUCGUUGUCCCCACACAAACGCACGCACGCGCGCGCACACACACACAGACCCCCCCCCCCCCCCCUCCCUCCCUCUCUCGCUGUCUCUCUUUCUUC